CAGCAGCCCGGUAAUACAGAGGGUGCGAGCGUUAAUCGGAUUUACUGGGCGUAAAGCGUGCGUAGGCGGCUUUUUAAGUCGGAUGUGAAAUCCCUGAGCUUAACUUAGGAAUUGCAUUCGAUACUGGGAAGCUAGAGUAUGGGAGAGGAUGGUAGAAUUCCAGGUGUAGCGGUGAAAUGCGUAGAGAUCUGGAGGAAUACCGAUGGCGAAGGCAGCCAUCUGGCCUAAUACUGACGCUGAGGUACGAAAGCAUGGGGAGCAAACAGGAUUAGAUACCCCGGUAGUCCCUGUCUCUUAUACA
RNAcentral lists this ribosomal RNA (301 nucleotides) under uncultured bacterium. RNAcentral describes it as "partial 16S ribosomal RNA". It matches the Rfam family "Bacterial small subunit ribosomal RNA", at positions 509 to 808 of the family's 1533-position model. The record is from RNAcentral.